CCUCCCCGUCCCGAUACGCUCGACCGCACUGCGCCCGGAGAUCUUCGAGGUCGUGCUUCGCGGCAACUUGCAAUUCCCGCUGCGCGCCUUCGUCAUUCCGCGCGGCGGCGGCCGUCUUCCCCGUCGGCGUGGUCCAGCCCUCCGCGAGGCACUGGUACGUCCGCACGUCGCCGCUCUCCUGCCUCUCUCCUGUUACCUUAUCCCCUCGUAUGGCAUAGGUCGAGUCCGCCAAUAGGGAUGUCGUCGAGUCAAGACGAGCUCUUCACCCGUUCCCGUUUGCUCCCGCCCCUGCGGCCAGGCGGUUCCCUUCGUCGGCGCCAGGGAAUCGAUCCAGCAGAGUCGGGUUCCUGCUUCGUCGGGUGGGAUAGGGGAGGGGUUCCCGGCUGAUUUGGCCUAGCAGUAGCUAGCGCCGAUCGAAUCGAUUGGUUGAUGGAUGAAGUGCCUGCUGAUGAUGUGCUCGCUCAACUGGGCUGCGAUCCUAGACGCGUCCGCGUCACUCACCGGAGUUGUUUGCCUGUUCAUGGUUGCUUUCGUGAUGCUGGAGUUCAUUUAGCCAUUAGAAUUGGACACAAAAUGAUGGGCAGAAGCAGCGGUGGUGCCAGAGUUUAUUACUUCAUUUAGUCAGUAGAACUAGCGCUAGUUUUUCCGUGAUCCUGCGGAGACGUCUCUCGUGAAGCUGGAACUGCAGCAGCUAUGGCCUGAGUUAGCAUGAAUGUGUUUGUUCUCUGAACCUAUGUAGUAGUGCUUGUAGAUACAAUCUGGUUCAUUUCUCGUUGAAGUUGAAGAGAGGGUCAGUACUAAUACUUAGUACUUUGUACGCAGACUUUGUUAGAAAGAAAAUGGAGCAAAAAUAUCUGCAUGUUUGUGUACAAAUUCACUGCAUCUUGCUUUAGUUUAACUCAUCAUCAAUCUUGUGUGCUUCCAUAACACUCUUACAAAUGGUUGCACAACCAAUCUGAGCGACGAACAUGUUAUAUUUCUGCAAAAAUUUCCACCUAGGAGUGUUACUAUUGGUUUUCCACAUCUUUUGUUUCACUGUACAACACAUGAACUUGCCCUUUUACUGCAUCAAAAAUUCCAGGGAUCGUCAUAAUUUAUGGUUUAUUGGUGACUUGAGGAAUCAGUUA
RNAcentral lists this long non-coding RNA (1127 nucleotides) under Triticum aestivum (bread wheat). RNAcentral's name for it is "long non-coding RNA (TAES_LNC013458)". The record is from RNAcentral. Lineage: Eukaryota; Viridiplantae; Streptophyta; Magnoliopsida; Poales; Poaceae.